GAUGAACGCUGGCGGCGUGCCUAAUACAUGCAAGUCGAGCGAACGGACGAGAAGCUUGCGUCUCUGAUGUUAGCGGCGGACGGGUGAGUAACGCGUGGAUAACCUACCUAUAAGACUGGGAUAACUUCGGGAGACCGGAGCUAAUACCGGCUAAUAUUUUGUACCGCAGGGUUCAAAAGUGAAAGGCGGUCUUGCUGUCACUUAUAGAUGGAUCCGCGCUGCAUUAGCUAGUUGGUAAGGUAACGGCUUACCAAGGCAACGAUGCAUAGCCGACCUGAGAGGGUGAUCAGCCACACUGGAACUGAGACACGGUCCAGACUCCUACGGGAGGCAGCAGUAGGGAAUCUUCCGCAAUGGGCGCAAGCCUGACGGAGCCACGCCGCGUGAGUGAUGAAGGUCUUCGGAUCGUAAAACUCUGUUAUUAGGGAAGAACAUAUGUGUAAGUAACUGUGCACAUCUUGACGGUACCUAAUCAGAAAGCCCCGGCUAACUACGUG
RNAcentral lists this ribosomal RNA (497 nucleotides) under uncultured bacterium. Its description in RNAcentral is "partial 16S ribosomal RNA". It matches the Rfam family "Bacterial small subunit ribosomal RNA", at positions 28 to 507 of the family's 1533-position model. The record is from RNAcentral.